RNAcentral lists this ribosomal RNA (292 nucleotides) under uncultured bacterium. RNAcentral describes it as "partial 16S ribosomal RNA". It matches the Rfam family "Bacterial small subunit ribosomal RNA", at positions 505 to 796 of the family's 1533-position model. The record is from RNAcentral.
GUGCCAGCAGCCGCGGUAAUACAGAGGGUGCUAGCGUUGUUCGGAAUUAUUGGGCGUAAAGCGCGUGUAGGCGGCCAGGCAAGUCGGGUGUGAAAGCCCUCAGCUUAACUGAGGAAGUGCGCCCGAAACUACUUGGCUUGAGUACCGGAGAGGGUGGCGGAAUUCCCGGUGUAGAGGUGAAAUUCGUAGAUAUCGGGAGGAACACCAGUGGCGAAGGCGGCCACCUGGACGGCUACUGACGCUGAGACGCGAAAGCGUGGGGAGCAAACAGGAUUAGAAACCCUGGUAGUCC